GGAUUAGUAAGUUGGUCGUGCCUCUGGUAUGUACUGGCUUUACUGAUUCCUCCUUCUUGAAGAACUGUAAUGUCAUUAAUUUGGUGUUGCAGGGAAACAGGACUGUUACUUUGAAAAAAUUAGAGUGUUUAAAGCAGGCAUUCGCUUGAAUACAUUAGCAUGGAAUAAUGAAAUAGGACGUUUGAUCUUAUUUUGUUGGUUUCUAAGAUCGACGUA
This 216-nucleotide ribosomal RNA is filed under the name uncultured fungus. Its description in RNAcentral is "partial small subunit ribosomal RNA". The stretch from base 38 to 216 matches the Rfam family "Eukaryotic small subunit ribosomal RNA", at positions 684 to 864 of the family's 1831-position model. Lineage: Eukaryota; Fungi. The record is from RNAcentral.